AUUGAACGCUGGCGGCAGGCCUAACACAUGCAAGUCGAACGGUAACAGGAAGUAGCUUGCUACUUUGCUGACGAGUGGCGGACGGGUGAGUAAUGUCUGGGGAUCUGCCUGAUGGAGGGGGAUAACUACUGGAAACGGUAGCUAAUACCGCAUAAUGUCGCAAGACCAAAGCGGGGGACUUUCGGGCCUCGCACCAUCAGAUGAACCCAGAUGGGAUUAGCUAGUAGGUAAGGUAAUGGCUUACCUAGGCGACGAUCCCUAGCUGGUCUGAGAGGAUGACCAGCCACACUGGAACUGAGACACGGUCCAGACUCCUACGGGAGGCAGCAGUGGGGAAUAUUGCACAAUGGGCGCAAGCCUGAUGCAGCCAUGCCGCGUGUAUGAAGAAGGCCUUCGGGUUGUAAAGUACUUUCAGUCAGGAGGAAGGGUGUGAAAUUAAUACUUUCAUACAUUGACGUUACUGACAGAAGAAGCACCGGCUAACUCCGUGCCAGCAGCCGCCGUAA
This 506-nucleotide ribosomal RNA is filed under the name uncultured bacterium. RNAcentral describes it as "partial 16S ribosomal RNA". It matches the Rfam family "Bacterial small subunit ribosomal RNA", at positions 30 to 523 of the family's 1533-position model. The record is from RNAcentral.